UACGUAGGUCCCAAGCGUUGUCCGGAUUUAUUGGGCGUAAAGCGAGCGCAGGUGGUUUAUUAAGUCUGGUGUAAAAGGCAGUGGCUCAACCAUUGUAUGCAUUGGAAACUGGUAGACUUGAGUGCAGGAGGGGAGAGUGGAAUUCCAUGUGUAGCGGUGAAAUGCGUAGAUAUAUGGAGGAACACCGGUGGCGAAAGCGGCUCUCUGGCCUGUAACUGACACUGAGGCUCGAAAGCGUGGGGAGCAAACAGG
Molecule: ribosomal RNA, 252 nt
Filed under: uncultured bacterium
Lineage: Bacteria
Description: partial 16S ribosomal RNA
Rfam family: Bacterial small subunit ribosomal RNA
Source: RNAcentral